This 450-nucleotide ribosomal RNA is filed under the name uncultured bacterium. RNAcentral's name for it is "partial 16S ribosomal RNA". It matches the Rfam family "Bacterial small subunit ribosomal RNA", at positions 354 to 796 of the family's 1533-position model. The record is from RNAcentral.
GUGGGGAAUCUUCCGCAAUGGACGAAAGUCUGACGGAGCAACGCCGCGUGAGUGAAGAAGGUUUUCGGAUCGUAAAGCUCUUUCGUUAGGGACGAACGUGCUCUUUGUGAAUAAUGAGGAGUAAUGACGGUACCUAAAUAAGAAGCCACGGCUAACUACGUGCCAGCAGCCGCGGUAAUACGUAGGUGGCAAGCGUUGCCCGGAAUUAGUGGGCGUAAAGCGCGCGCAGGCGGGAUAUCAAGUCUGUCGUAAAAGUGCGAGGCUCAACCUCGUGAGGGGACAGAAACUGGUAUUCUUGAGUGUCGGAGAGGAAAGUGGAAUUCCAAGUGUAGCGGUGAAAUGCGUAGAGAUUUGGAAGAACACCAGUGGCGAAGGCGACUUUCUGGACGAUGUCUGACGCUGAGGCGCGAAAGCUAGGGGAGCGAACGGGAUUAGAAACCCGUGUAGUCC